This 492-nucleotide ribosomal RNA is filed under the name uncultured bacterium. Its description in RNAcentral is "partial 16S ribosomal RNA". It matches the Rfam family "Bacterial small subunit ribosomal RNA", at positions 29 to 507 of the family's 1533-position model. The record is from RNAcentral.
AGUGAACGCUGGCGGUAGGCCUAACACAUGCAAGUCGAACGGCAGCACAGUAAGAUCUCGCUCUUACGGGUGGCGAGUGGCGGACGGGUGAGGAAUACAUCGGAAUCUACUUUUUCGUGGGUGAUAACGGAGGGAAACUUACGCUAAUACCGCAUACGACCUACGGGAGAAAGCAGGGGAUCUUCGGACCUUUGCCGAUUCAAUGAGCCGAUGUCGGAUUAGCUAGUUGGCUGGGUAAAGGCCCACCAAGGCGACGAUCCGUAGCUGGUCUGAGAGGAUGAUCAGCCACACUGGAACUGAGACACGGUCCAGACUCCUACGGGAGGCAGCAGUGGGGAAUAUUGGACAAAGGGCGAAAGCCUGAUCCAGCAAUACCGCGUGGGUGAAGAAGGCCUUCGGGUUGUAAAGCCCUUUUGUUGGGAAAGAAAAGCAGCAGGUUAAUACCCCGCUGUUCUGACGGUACCCAAAGAAUAAGCACCGGCUAACUUCGUG